Molecule: non-coding RNA, 119 nt
Filed under: Stenotrophomonas maltophilia
Lineage: Bacteria; Pseudomonadati; Pseudomonadota; Gammaproteobacteria; Lysobacterales; Lysobacteraceae
Description: SAM
Rfam family: SAM riboswitch aptamer (S box leader)
About the family: The SAM riboswitch is found upstream of a number of genes which code for proteins involved in methionine or cysteine biosynthesis in Gram-positive bacteria. The SAM riboswitch acts at the level of transcription termination control.
Source: RNAcentral
UCACCAUCGAGACCGGCAGAGGGACAGGCCCUUUGAAGCCGGGGCAGCCCGCAGGCGCGCAAGCGUCCGCGUAGGUGCCAAAUCCUGCGGGGACCGUGGCGUCCACCGAAAGAUGGUUC